RNAcentral lists this unclassified non-coding RNA (316 nucleotides) under uncultured bacterium. RNAcentral's name for it is "contains 16S-23S intergenic spacer region". The record is from RNAcentral.
GGGGAAAUGAGUUUGGGAACAGCGAGGCCAGCCACCUGGAGUGCCCCGGCCCCCAGCAUCACUCCAGUAGGGGACACCAUGGAUGGUGGUCAAGCCAGUACUUCUCAAACUUACCUGUCCUGGAACCCUUUUUAAUGGGGAAGUUACGGAGCUAGUGUUCUGCGGGACAUACUUUGGGAAACACCAAGUGACCCGUUCUGCUUCACUGGCUCCUAAUCCCACCCACCUGUGCUCUCAGUCACUCCUGCACCAUCACAGCCGCUUCUCCUCCUUCCCUCGCUUGCCUACUCCCCAGUACCAGCCUCUACAUAGCUUC